Molecule: microRNA precursor, 68 nt
Filed under: Bombyx mori (domestic silkworm)
Lineage: Eukaryota; Metazoa; Arthropoda; Insecta; Lepidoptera; Bombycidae
Description: mir-2774 microRNA precursor family
Rfam family: mir-2774 microRNA precursor family
Source: Rfam by way of RNAcentral
ACAACAUUCGGACCGUCGGUCUACCGAGCAAAUAUCACCCGCUCGGUGGAAGAUCAUUCCGCCGUUGU